CCGAAUCGAAAAAUAAUCGCACCAGCUAAACACUCUCCCAAAAUUCCAAAAACUAAGCAACAAAGAGCUAAACACCCAUGACUCUCCAGCUCUCGAAGAUAACAGAAGUUUAACUUCACUGACGGUAAGCAUCACAGCAACCGCGUCCACUUCUUCAUCUUCAUUCACAAUAGCCACGACAGUUCUGGUUUUAGCUGAGAGUAGUGGCACCACCUGUGUCAGUCAGGAGCAACAGCAAGCCUUUCUUUUCAGCCAAGAACAGCCACAGCACCAGCAUCGGUCAGGAACAACAACUAAAGUUUUCAGCCGUAAGCAGUAGCCUUUGUCUCAACCGUGAAGAGCAGCACAGUGCUUUCAAUUGUGAGUAGUGGUUCUUGUUUCAACUAUGAGCAGUAGCAGCACCUUUCCCUUCCAACAUCCUUAGUUCUCCUUCGGUCUCCAUUGAAGGUCUAACUCUCAAGCUCUCAAAGGAUGACCUCUCAAAUUUGAUUUUUAUGAAUCAUUUUUGUAUUUUUAUUUUCAUGAUUUAUGUGCUUGAUUUGGAAGUGGUGCUCAAAAAUAUUCGUUUAACAUCAAGUUUAAUUGUGUGGUUGUGAUAUUUACCUGAGAUAGUUUUCAUAAAUAUUACACAGAAUCAAAUAUUAUAAGAGGAUUUGAUUAAAGAUUUGAUUGUUGAAUGAUUAGGUUUAUGUACAGUAUAUGAGGUUGAAAUUGUUGAUGUUAAUUAAGCUGUGUGAACAUGAUUUUGACAAUGAUUUGGAAAUGAGAUGAGUUUUUGAAUAGUAAUCAUGGAUUGUGUAAGGAAUUGCUG
Molecule: long non-coding RNA, 811 nt
Filed under: Populus trichocarpa (black cottonwood)
Lineage: Eukaryota; Viridiplantae; Streptophyta; Magnoliopsida; Malpighiales; Salicaceae
Description: long non-coding RNA (PTRI_LNC001523)
Source: RNAcentral